Molecule: long non-coding RNA, 2662 nt
Filed under: Triticum aestivum (bread wheat)
Lineage: Eukaryota; Viridiplantae; Streptophyta; Magnoliopsida; Poales; Poaceae
Description: long non-coding RNA (TAES_LNC021089)
Source: RNAcentral
UGGAGGAGGACUUGGUGGUGCUAAGGAAUGGAGUACUGCAAGGACGGACGCCGCUUCCGUUGAACUCAGGUGAGCUUGCGAGUCCGCGACGGCCUUGGUGAUUUUACUAUUACUGCUACUCUAUUAGUCAUGGAAUUCGGGAGAGCUUGGGUUCGAAUUUUAUUUUCUGGGAUUUUUAUCGGGGUGUAUGCAACUGUAUAACUGUAAAUUGGCUUGCCCCUGGGUGUUCUUGGUUGGUGAUUCGGCAAUGAUUUGAAGCGGUCUGGCUUAUGAGCCGGUGGUUAGGUGGAGUCUGGUUAUUAUAGUUUCGGUACAGGAGGGGGAAAGGUGGCACAAAUCUGGGGGCAGGGCAUGUUUCUGCCUGAUUGAUCCAAUCAUUUUUUUCUUCUGGUAUCAAUCAAUCAUGCCAGCAUCUGAAACGGACUAUCAAAUCUGAAUUAGCACUGUUUUUUAUAUAUAAUGAUACCAUACAGCUCGAGAUGAACAUAUGCUUGACUGAAUAGCUGUUCAUACAUCUGGAGGUGUUACUAUGAGUACAAUUACCAUUCAGAAAGAAAAGAACUAUGAGUAAAAUGCAGAGAACGCACUUCCAGACUAUCAAUCAUGCAUGCCCAUAUCAUUUGCUUUUCUUAAUGUUUCUCAGUUUAACUUACUAGUCUCUUGUCUAUGUAUUUUUUGCUGCCAGAAGGGACCCAAAUAGGUUGCAACUGGGAGUAAAAUAUGUGUCUAAACUGAUCGUCUGGUGCGAAAAUUGACGACCAAGAUCCAGUUAUGUGUAUUGCAGGACAACACCUUUCAUUAGAUACACUUUGAUGCUAUUUCUAGCAUGAAUUUCUAUUUCAGACUUAAAACUAAAAUUCUGAACAAGUAAAAUCGCUCUUGUUCCUUAUUUUUUUAGGGCGGUUCCUCUCGUUUUACUGGUUCGUCCGCUCCUUCAUGAUUGAUGUACUGGUUCUAGCCCCUCCUUCGUGAUAGACUCGGUUAACUCUUUGUUAGCCUUGUGGGUCAUAAUUCUUUCUCUCCAGACGCAUAUACUGCCUGAUGUAUUGCUCAUGCUCAUUCUGUACCGAGAUAGUCCUAAUAUCCAUAGGGUUGUAGAUUGAUUUCCCCUGAAAAAGCUAUGCUUCUUUCCUUGGAUGAUAAGCAUGUUCGGUAGCUAUGUGGAAUUCUUAAGAUAAACGGUCUUUACUUUCUUUUGGUGCAUCUGCGUGCACAUAAUAGUCUGUUAGUUUCUCUUUAUAUAAUGAAAAAAAUAUGUUGUUGUAGCUUGUUUAUUAUUAUCUAUCAUUUGUAGAUUGAUUUUUAGGCCACCGGUACUUGUAUGUAUAAUUUCUAGUCUCUUGAAUGAAUAAUUUUUCUUUAUGUGUCAUGCGUCUUGUGUUACUACAUACAUCUGUCGUGAAGUACAUGGUUCCGGAACUAUGGUAACCCAUAGUUUGCUCUACUCGUGAUAGUAGGAUGAUGGAAGCAUCACUAUUGAAUGUAGUUCAUGUUUCUUCAUAUAAUCAUCAUUUACUAGAGUUUCUCUUCUUCUUGCUACUGCUUGGUUUUUGACGCCACUAGCUUGUACUAGAACGCAAACACAUCAUAUUGUUUUCAUCAGACUAGUGUACCUUGAGCAUGCAAAGUAAACACAUGCUACUCCACUUGUCUAUUUGUACAUAAACUUUUGUUUAAAUAAACCGAGCUAAUAAACCAAACGGUGCGAACACAUUCAGUUCUGAAAUUUGUCUACUCCACUUGUUUGAUUGUACUGAAACCUUUGUUUGCAUGUUUCUAAAAUACAGAGAAGAACACCCUGUGUUCUGGUAAAAUUUCCUAUGAUAUGAAAUUCCAUGAUGUGUGUGUUGUUUCAGUUUCUGUAGCUACAACAAAGUCCCAGUUUACUCUGUACUUGCUUUUGAUGAUUGCUGGCUAAAUUUACAGUUGAAAUAAUAGUAGCCAAGGAGUAGAUACAAGACGUAUUUACCAUAUUUUGCAUGGAAUGUUAAAAAUCAGUUUUGUUGUGGUUUCUUGUUCUGUGAGUCAAAUUGCAUAAGAUGGGAGUAUCACAACAUGCAUAUACUGAAGAUGGGAGUAUCACAACCUGAAUGUGCAGCUUAUGUAGUUUCUGUAUUUUUGUUAAAGCAUGGAGUAGCUUCUAUAGUUUCUGUAUUUUUGUUAAAGCAUGGAGUAGCUUCUAUAGCUUCCUCACAAGUUAAUGCUUCGCUCGUCCGGGUGUGUGAUAAUGCCAUUUGUCUUGUGCAAUCAGAUUACAUUUCUGUUUGUUAUGGUAAUAUAAAUAUUCAUCCUGUCAAAAUUUUCACAGUGCGUGUCUUUCAUUUCUUUAAUUUGAUUGUUUCCCUUGUAUUCAAUAUGCUUCUAGUGGCUGAUCCUUCCAUUUUUGUUGUGGCAUCUUUAUUUUCACAGGUGUUGUGUGUUCUGGAAGAUGGAAGAGGAAGAAAUUGUUGAACUAAAUUUUCUGUAUUCUGUUUUGUUGUACGUAUCAUUUGAUAGUUUUGUAUAGGAACAAGUGAUACUAUUUUGUAGGGCUUUAUGGCCUGUGAUGUAAACAUAUUUAGUGCUGAAAUAUGAAAUUAUUUGCAAAAUUUGUCAAAAAGGUGGAUCAUAUGUAUGAAUAUGUGAAUGGGCUGAAAAGAGUACUGGACCAACUCCAGGAUUG